Molecule: long non-coding RNA, 1026 nt
Organism: Galeopterus variegatus (Sunda flying lemur)
Lineage: Eukaryota; Metazoa; Chordata; Mammalia; Dermoptera; Cynocephalidae
Exons: 3
Source: RefSeq, a predicted model, not a curated record
UCUUACCUCUUCUGUGGGUGGCUGCCAUACUUCUGUUUUAGAGGAAGAGAGCCCAGAGUUACUGUGACCACAGUUCUGGAAGCGCGGGGGAUCCGCAUGCCCUCAGUGCACCAAAGGAAGGGGAGAGGCGGAGGAAAGGGGCUGAGCUCACCUGGCCGCCGGCAGCCUGCUCGCCUCUGAACAUACAGGCACCGCGUGUUGAAGCUGGAAUAGAAUCCAUUCUGCUUUGAUAGCAGUCAGCUCUCUGUUUAAAAAAUACAAAUUUUACUUAAAGAGGAUGUUUAUCUGAGCACUAGUGUAGAGUAGCCGGCAUACACAAAAGAAAUGAGUGAUGGUGCUGGAAAGCAAAGGGGUGAGCGUUUUCUGCACACCUGCUACAGAGCAGGCAUUGCUGGGUCUUGUACGUGACAGCUCGACCCUGGCCGAAGCCCUGCAGAGAGGUUAAGCACCUUAGCCAGAGUGUCCCCCUAGUGGUGCUUCCUUUACACCUCAUGUGAGGGCCAUCGGCUGCUGUUGUGGAAACUGUGACCCGCCAGGUCGUUCAGAAGCAUCUACAAACUUCUGGUUGGUUUGGCUGGAAGCUGCACUGAGGGAGGUGACAUAUCUGGCUGUUUCAGCUCCUGGCUGUCCCAGUCUUGUGUGACUUUGCCAUCAUUUGAAAUUGUUGCCUAUUUAACUCUGAAGGUUCAGUUGACAACCUAGCUAAUUAGUGUUUGAAAAUGCUGGUGUUUUCCUAUUUGGGGAUUUCAGGGCAUCAUCAUGCCCCAAGUUAUGAUGGGGAUCGCGGCGAAUGUCAUCGACGCGGGCAUGAACGCCCUCCUGCUGUACGCACUGACCUCGAGUGGUGUGAGUGGUGACCCAUUCAUUUGAGGAUGUGCCUGGGCCAACCCCACUUCGCAGUUUUUUCUGUCUGCUCUUUUCCUUUACGUAUGGUGGAAAAGAAUCCAUGGUGACACCUGGCCAGUUACCCUAUUUUGUGUGUGGCAAGAAUACUUAGGAUCUACGUUGUCAGCAAAUUUCAGGUAU